This 485-nucleotide ribosomal RNA is filed under the name uncultured bacterium. Its description in RNAcentral is "partial 16S ribosomal RNA". It matches the Rfam family "Bacterial small subunit ribosomal RNA", at positions 28 to 507 of the family's 1533-position model. The record is from RNAcentral.
GAUGAACGCUAGCGAUAGGCUUAACACAUGCAAGUCGAGGGGCGGCGAGGGUAGCAAUACCUGUCGGCGACCGGCGCACGGGUGAGUAACGCGUAUGUAACCUGCCCGCAACAGGGGGAUAACCCGGCGAAAGUCGGACUAAUACCGCAUAAAACAGGGGUCCCGCAUGGGAAUAUUUGUUAAAGAUUUAUCGGUUGCGGAUGGGCAUGCGUACCAUUAGGUAGUUGGUGAGGUAACGGCUCACCAAGCCUUCGAUGGUUAGGGGUUCUGAGAGGAAGGUCCCCCACACUGGUACUGAGACACGGACCAGACUCCUACGGGAGGCAGCAGUGAGGAGUAUUGGUCAAUGGGCGAGAGCCUGAACCAGCCAAGUCGCGUGAAGGAUGACUGCCCUAUGGGUUGUAAACUUCUUUUACAAGGGAAUAAAAUGAGAUACGUGUAUUUUAUUGCAUGUACCUUGGGAAUAAGCAUCGGCUAACUCCGUG